RNAcentral lists this unclassified non-coding RNA (305 nucleotides) under plant metagenome. RNAcentral's name for it is "partial contains 5.8S ribosomal RNA, internal transcribed spacer 2, and large subunit ribosomal RNA". The stretch from base 1 to 105 matches the Rfam family "5.8S ribosomal RNA", at positions 50 to 154 of the family's 154-position model. The record is from RNAcentral.
GAAAUGCGAUAAGUAAUGUGAAUUGCAGAAUUCAGUGAAUCAUCGAAUCUUUGAACGCACAUUGCGCCCGCCAGUAUUCUGGCGGGCAUGCCUGUCCGAGCGUCAUUUCAACCAUCAAGCCCCCGGGCUUGAGUUGGGGACCUGCGGCUGCCCGCAGGCCCUGAAAACCAGUGGCGGGCUCGCUGUCACACCGAGCGUAGUAGCAAUCACCUCGCUCAGGGCGUGCUGCGGGUUCCGGCCGUUAAACAGCCUUACAAAACCCAAGGUUGACCUCGGAUCAGGUAGGAAGACCCGCUGAACUUAAG